GCGCAUUCUUCUAAUGAAUAGGAUACUUCCCUUGCUGUUUAUCUGUACCACUAAACAAUAUAAAAUUUAUUUCUAAAACUACUUUUGUAGGGCCUGCUAUGGUGUUUUGAGGUUUGUUAUGGAAAAUGGCGCCAAGGGAUGCGAGGUCAUCGUUAGUGGAAAGUUGAGGGCUCAGCGCGCUAAAUCCAUGAAGUUCAAGAAUGGGUACAUGAUUUCCUCAGAGCAACCAGUCAAGGAC
This is a non-coding RNA of Arachis ipaensis, 238 nucleotides long. Lineage: Eukaryota; Viridiplantae; Streptophyta; Magnoliopsida; Fabales; Fabaceae. The record is from RefSeq and is a predicted model, not a curated record.